AACGAACGCUGGCGGCAGGCCUAACACAUGCAAGUCGAGCGCGCCCUUCGGGGUGAGCGGCGGACGGGUGAGUAACGCGUGGGAACGUACCCUUUGCUACGGAAUAGUCUCGGGAAACUGGGGGUAAUACCGUAUGAGCCCUUCGGGGGAAAGAUUUAUCGGCAAAGGAUCGGCCCGCGUUGGAUUAGGUAGUUGGUGGGGUAAUGGCCCACCAAGCCGACGAUCCAUAGCUGGUUUGAGAGGAUGAUCAGCCACACUGGGACUGAGACACGGCCCAGACUCCUACGGGAGGCAGCAGUGGGGAAUCUUAGACAAUGGGCGCAAGCCUGAUCUAGCCAUGCCGCGUGAGCGAUGAAGGCCUUAGGGUUGUAAAGCUCUUUCAGGGGGGAAGGAUAAUGACUGUACCCCCACGAAGAAGCCCCGGCUAACUCCGUG
This 435-nucleotide ribosomal RNA is filed under the name uncultured bacterium. RNAcentral's name for it is "bacterial SSU rRNA". It matches the Rfam family "Bacterial small subunit ribosomal RNA", at positions 29 to 507 of the family's 1533-position model. The record is from RNAcentral.